Molecule: long non-coding RNA, 218 nt
Organism: Rhineura floridana
Lineage: Eukaryota; Metazoa; Chordata; Lepidosauria; Squamata; Rhineuridae
Exons: 3
Source: RefSeq, a predicted model, not a curated record
GGUAUGCAGCAAAAUGGGCAGUAUUAUUAGCUCCCUAACAUAGAUGAGAGACUGAAGCUGAGAGGAAGAGCUUUGCUUGCCUAAGGCCGCACACAGAUAAGGACCAAAUUCACAACAUACUUGUAAGUGCCAUCAAUCUCAACAGAAUUUACAGCAGGAGCCCAGGAGCAACAGCAUUUGCUGUGUAGCUUUGAUCAAAUCAUUCCUGGAGACAAAAG